UUGCCAUCAGCAAAUGAGGCCUGUGGGAGCAGCUCAGAGGACUCAGGAAGUAGCCACAGGGCGUAACAGUUCACUGGCUUUGGAGGGAGGCUUCCUCUGGACCUCAUUUCCAUAUCUCAGACACAGGACAGUGGGAGUCUUGGGUUGAGAAGACUGACACAUUCCUGCUCCUAUCUGCUAGCGUUGCUUAGGGACAGCCAGCCUACCCCCACUCCAGUCCACCCGUCACCCCUCAGCAACUCUUCUGAAAUAAUCCUGAAGCCUGGCAACCCCUGCUUUGACCAAAGUGAGCUUGGCUAAACAUUCUGCUACCUUCACCAAAAGUCUCCCAGUCUGAUUUUUUAGAACGGCCAGAAGGAAGCCCUUGCUUUUCUCAAGGCCCACUAGGUACUCUGUGCAGAGAAAACUUGGUCAGCAGGAGGCAACUCUAUGGGAACUCCCAGGGCUGGCUGGCUGUAGCUGAGGCCUUUCUGCUUGGAGAUAAGGAAGUAUUUAUUGAUGGAUCAAAGGCUAUAAUUUUAAUGGGACAACUGUGGAUUAAAAGUUUGCUGUACAGCCAAAGGUGGAAAAAGCCAUAAUCUUAGGAACUUUAUGUAAAUCAAGGAGCCUCUGAAGUACCUAAGAGCCUUCUGGAUGGUCCUAUCUUCUAUGCUGCCCAGCUGCUCCUCUGAGAUGUUCACUCCAAACAUCAUGCCUGACACCUAUAACAGCUUGUCA
RNAcentral lists this long non-coding RNA (717 nucleotides) under Heterocephalus glaber (naked mole-rat). RNAcentral describes it as "lncRNA (ENSHGLG00000050342.1)". The record is from RNAcentral. Lineage: Eukaryota; Metazoa; Chordata; Mammalia; Rodentia; Bathyergidae.